RNAcentral lists this ribosomal RNA (714 nucleotides) under uncultured organism. RNAcentral's name for it is "bacterial SSU rRNA". It matches the Rfam family "Bacterial small subunit ribosomal RNA", at positions 41 to 745 of the family's 1533-position model. The record is from RNAcentral.
GGCGGGCUUCAUACAUGCAAGUCGAGCGGAAAGGCCCCUUCGGGGGUACUCGAGCGGCGACGGGUGAGUACAAGUGGACACCUGCCCUUUGGUGGGGGAUAACCCCGGGAAACUGGGGCUAAUACCGCAUGCGGUCCGCGAGACUCCGGUCUUGCGGAAGAAAGGGGCUUCUGGCCUCGCCAAAGGAUGGGUCCGCUCCCCAUUAGCUAGUUGGUGGGAUAACAGCCCACCAAGGCAACGAUGGGUAGCCGAGCUGAGAGGUUGAUCGGCCACACUGGAACUGAGACACGGUCCAGACACCUACGGGUGGCAGCAGUAGGGAAUAUUGCGCAAUGGGCGAAAGCCUGACGCAGCCACGCCGCGUGAGCGACGAAGGCCUUCGGGUCGUAAAGCUCUUUUCUGAGGCAAGAAAAGUCGGGGUAGGAAAUGAUCCCGGCCUGACGGUACCUCAGGAAUAAGGGACGGCUAACUCCGUGCCAGCAGCCGCGGUAAUACGGAGGUCCCAAGCGUUGUUCGGAAUUACUGGGCGUAAAGGGAGCGCAGGCGGACAGGUCAGUGGAAAGUGGAAUCCCGGAGCUCAACUUCGGACGUGCUUUCCAUACUGCCUGUCUUGAGUUCGUGAGAGGAAGGCGGAAUUCCAGGUGUAGCGGUGAAAUGCUUAGAUAUCUGGAGGAACACCCGUGGCGAAAGCGGCCUUCUGGCGCGAAACUGACG